RNAcentral lists this ribosomal RNA (253 nucleotides) under uncultured bacterium. Its description in RNAcentral is "partial 16S ribosomal RNA". It matches the Rfam family "Bacterial small subunit ribosomal RNA", at positions 524 to 776 of the family's 1533-position model. The record is from RNAcentral.
UACGUAGGGUGCGAGCGUUAAUCGGAAUUACUGGGCGUAAAGCGUGCGCAGGCGGUUCGUUGUGUCGGCGGGGAAAGCCCCGGGCUCAACCUCGGAAUUGCCUUCGAUACUGGGUAUCUUGAGUUCGGGAGAGGUGAGUGGAAUGCCGAGUGUAGAGGUGAAAUUCGUAGAUAUUCGGCGGAACACCAGUGGCGAAGGCGACUCACUGGCCCGAUACUGACGCUGAUGCGCGAAAGCGUGGGGAGCAAACAGG